UGGCGGCAGGCCUAACACAUGCAAGUCGAGCGCAGUCCUUCGGGACCGAGCGGCGGACGGGUUAGUAACGCGUGGGAACAUACCCUUUUCUACGGAAUAGCCUCGGGAAACUGAGAGUAAUACCGUAUAAGCCCUUCGGGGGAAAGAUUUAUCGGGAAAGGAUUGGCCCGCGUUAGAUUAGAUAGUUGGUGGGGUAAUGGCCUACCAAGUCUACGAUCUAUAGCUGGUUUUAGAGGAUGAUCAGCAACACUGGGACUGAGACACGGCCCAGACUCCUACGGGAGGCAGCAGUGGGGAAUCUUAGACAAUGGGCGCAAGCCUGAUCUAGCCAUGCCGCGUGUGUGAUGAAGGUCUUAGGAUCGUAAAGCACUUUCGCCAGGGAUGAUAAUGACAGUACCUGGUAAAGAAACCCCGGCUAACUCCGUGCCAGCAGCCGCGGUAAUACGGAGGGGGUUAGCGUUGUUCGGAAUUACUGGGCGUAAAGCGUACGUAGGCGGAUCAGAAAGUUAGGGGUGAAAUCCCGAGGCUCAACCUCGGAACUGCCUCUAAAACUCCUGGUCUUGAGUUCGAGAGAGGUGAGUGGAAUUCCAAGUGUAGAGGUGAAAUUCGUAGAUAUUUGGAGGAACACCAGUGGCGAAGGCGGCUCACUGGCUCGAUACUGACGCUGAGGUACGAAAGUGUGGGGAGCAAACAGGAUUAGAUACCCUGGUAGUCCACACCGUAAACGAUGAAUGCCAGUCGUCGGGCAGUAUACUGUUCGGUGACACACCUAACGGAUUAAGCAUCC
Molecule: ribosomal RNA, 787 nt
Filed under: uncultured Sulfitobacter sp.
Lineage: Bacteria; Pseudomonadati; Pseudomonadota; Alphaproteobacteria; Rhodobacterales; Roseobacteraceae
Description: bacterial SSU rRNA
Rfam family: Bacterial small subunit ribosomal RNA
Source: RNAcentral